GAAGCUUAGCCGCCCAUUGACCCCUCUGGAAGCACAGCUGCACCCACAGAGGAUAUGCCUGAACAGGAACCACUAGGAAAUGGUGACAUGCAAAUGAAUCUUACUGGGCAAGGCACCGCUCCUGUGACAUUGCAAACAUCAGUGAUUGGUUCCCAGGCAAGCACCAGCUACCCAAGUGCUUCAACGAGCAGUGAUGCACAGAGAGAAAGAGCAUGGCUCCACCAA
Dermacentor silvarum is the source of this 225-nucleotide long non-coding RNA. RefSeq lists it as uncharacterized. The transcript is spliced from 3 exons. Lineage: Eukaryota; Metazoa; Arthropoda; Arachnida; Ixodida; Ixodidae. The record is from RefSeq and is a predicted model, not a curated record.